This 492-nucleotide ribosomal RNA is filed under the name uncultured bacterium. RNAcentral's name for it is "partial 16S ribosomal RNA". It matches the Rfam family "Bacterial small subunit ribosomal RNA", at positions 29 to 507 of the family's 1533-position model. The record is from RNAcentral.
AGUGAACGCUGGCGGUAGGCCUAACACAUGCAAGUCGAACGGCAGCACAGUAAGAGCUUGCUCUUACGGGUGGCGAGUGGCGGACGGGUGAGGAAUACAUCGGAAUCUACUUUUUCGUGGGGGAUAACGUAGGGAAACUUACGCUAAUACCGCAUACGACCUACGGGUGAAAGCAGGAGAUCUUCGGACCUUGCGCGAUUGAAUGAGCCGAUGUCGGAUUAGCUAGUUGGCGGUGUAAAGGCCCAACAAGGCGACGAUCCGUAGCUGGUCUGAGAGGAUGAUCAGCCACACUGGAACUGAGACACGGUGCAGACUCCUACGGGAGGCAGCAGUCGGGAAUAUUCGACAAUGGGCGCAAGCCUGAUGCAGCCAUACCGCGUGGGUGAAGAAGGCCUUCGGGUUGUAAAGCCGGUUUGUUGGGAAAGAAAAGAAGCAGGUUAAAAGCCCGCUGUUCUGACGGUACCCAAAGAAUAAGCACCGGCGAACUUCGUG